This 582-nucleotide ribosomal RNA is filed under the name uncultured archaeon. RNAcentral's name for it is "bacterial SSU rRNA". It matches the Rfam family "Archaeal small subunit ribosomal RNA", at positions 13 to 600 of the family's 1478-position model. The record is from RNAcentral.
ACUUCCGGCCGCUUUUGUCUGAGAUAAGCCUGCGAUUGAAUGGGAACCUAAAAUUCCCUAGCAAACUGCUCAGUAACACAUGAUCAACUUACCCUAUAGAGAAAAAUAACCUCGGGAAACUGAGGAUAAUGUUUCAUAAUUGAAUUGGCUUGGAAAAGUUUUUCAAUGAAAAGGAUAAAAAAAAUGGUUUUUAUCUGCUAUAGGAUAGGAUCGUGUUCGAUUAUGGUUGUUGGUGAGAUAAUGGCUCACCAAGCCGAUAAUCGAUAGGGGCCGUGAGAGCGGGAGCCCCGAGAUGGGUACUGAGACAACGACCCAGGCCUUACGAGGCGCAGCAGGCGCGGAACCUCCGCAAUACACGAAAGUGUGACGGGGUUACCCAAAAGUGUUCAAUAGAACUGUGGUAGGUGAGUAAUGUCCCCUACUAGAAAGGAGAGGGCAAGGCUGGUGCCAGCCGGCGCGGUAAAACCAGCUCUUCAAGUGGUGCGGAUAAUUAUGGGCUUAAAGAGUCCGUAGCCGGUUAGGUAGAUNCUGNUAAAUUNGNUAGCUUACUAUCUGCUGCUAGGAUACUGCUUACUAANGGCG